This 247-nucleotide ribosomal RNA is filed under the name uncultured bacterium. RNAcentral describes it as "partial 16S ribosomal RNA". It matches the Rfam family "Bacterial small subunit ribosomal RNA", at positions 523 to 769 of the family's 1533-position model. The record is from RNAcentral.
AUACGUAGGGUGCAAGCGUUAAUCGGAAUUACUGGGCGUAAAGCGUGCGCAGGCGGUUAUGUAAGACAGAGGUGAAAUCCCCGGGCUCAACCUGGGAACGGCCUUUGUGACUGCAUAGCUAGAGUACGGUAGAGGGGGAUGGAAUUCCGCGUGUAGCAGUGAAAUGCGUAGAUAUGCGGAGGAACACCGAUGGCGAAGGCAAUCCCCUGGACCUGUACUGACGCUCAUGCACGAAAGCGUGGGGAGC